Molecule: ribosomal RNA, 481 nt
Filed under: uncultured bacterium
Lineage: Bacteria
Description: partial 16S ribosomal RNA
Rfam family: Bacterial small subunit ribosomal RNA
Source: RNAcentral
GAUGAACGCUGGCGGCGUGCUUAACACAUGCAAGUCGAACGAAGCACUUUAUUUGAUUUCCUUCGGGACCGAUUAUUUUGUGACUGAGUGGCGGACGGGUGAGUAACGCGUGGGUAACCUGCCUUGUACAGGGGGAUAACAGUUGGAAACGGCUGCUAAUACCGCAUAAGCGCACGGCAUCGCAUGAUGCAGUGUGAAAAACUCCGGUGGUAUAAGAUGGACCCGCGUUGGAUUAGCUAGUUGGUGAGGUAACGGCCCACCAAGGCGACGAUCCAUAGCCGACCUGAGAGGGUGACCGGCCACAUUGGGACUGAGACACGGCCCAAACUCCUACGGGAGGCAGCAGUGGGGAAUAUUGCACAAUGGGCGAAAGCCUGAUGCAGCGACGCCGCGUGAGCGAAGAAGUAUUUCGGUAUGUAAAGCUCUAUCAGCAGGGAAGAUAAUGACGGUACCUGACUAAGAAGCACCGGCUAAAUACGUG